UUUAUAGCGCGCGUAGCGCGCGCUUGUGUUGCUAGUACGUUAAAAGAUAAAUUAAAUAAUAUUAAAAGUGAAAAACAUAUGAUUAAAGUUUGUGCACGUGCAAUCUCUCUUUCUCUCUCUCUUUUUUUAAAUUGCUAACGAUUAGGAUAAUUUCGGGAUAGAUGGCCGCACAGAAGAGACGAUCAAUCGCUCUAAUUUCGCUACUGACUGCAGAGCUGUAAUACCAUACAAUCUCUGAUGAACUUUAAUUGUGUUUACAACAGGAUGUUUAACGUUUUAACAUCAUACUUGUGAAAAUAUUUUUAUUUAAACUUUACUAAACUAUUAACUAAACGAAAUACUAAAUAUUAGUCUAGAAUUACUUCUUUCAUCAUUUUUGUUUACUUUUACGUUAAUUUUAAGACUGCCUGAUUAACUUUCUUUGUACUUUAUGGGGUCAUCUCUAUAUGAAAGAGAUGGCCAAGAUUCUUACAUUUAAAAAAUUUGUAAAGAUUUUAUAUAUAUGUUUUGUUCUAAAAACAAUGUUUCAUGAAAGAAAACAUUUAAAUAAUAUUAGUCUAUUUUUUUAAGAGCUUUGUAUAUAAAAACAGGAUAUUUUCGGCAAUUAAAAACCUUAUGGUCAUCUGUCUUGGAGUUAUCCCAUAUCAAGAUAGAAAUAGUUACAUUAUACAUAUAUAACACAGAGUAAUUUGGCCGAAGAGAAGCCAAAAAUAGCAUAUUUCAAAAAUAGCAUCGAUCGCUUUGUACGGCUUCGUAUAACUCUUCACAGGUCAAAACAGAUUAAAUUUACUGGAUAUGGCCAAUCGCGCGAACGCUUGUUAACGUAACUUUAUACCCAGUUAUCAGGGAGAUUGGCUAAAACCGUACGCAAAUAUAACCAGCAAAUUUAGCAGACAUUGUCUGACUUUCUUCGUAACUAAUUUAUCAUACUUUGAGAGGAUUCAUAUAGCACGACUUCUUUUCGAGCGAUCUGAUUAUGGAACAUUUGAUUAUAUCGGUCACAUUGAUACGUCAUAAUUUUUAAUUAUGACGUAUCGGUUUUUAAUUGCCGAAAAUAUCCUGUUUUUAUAUACAAAUCGCGGAACUAGAUUAUUGUAAGAAACGCGAUGUAUCUAAAAAAAACAAAAACCCGAUAAUAAAACAUAAAAACAGAAAAAGAGUGUCAUGUCAGAAUCGAAGUUUGAAGAAAGAGAUUACUAUACUAUUUCUAUAUCGCAGAUGUAUCGAUCGUCUCGAUAUACAAAGUAACUUUACGGUUUAUAGGACGUUGCAGAUUUUUGCCAAUUAUUUGCGUCGUUCACUCAUACAUCUAAUUGCAGCGUCUGUUUAUUUAUAUUGCAAGUGUUUCAUAUUGUGAACACGUUCCACAAUAUCAUCGAGAGAGCAUAGACAAACAUAUCCCUAUCUCGCACCCCUCUCGAUUCAUCUAUUCUGCCAUACUCGGGGGAUUGCUGAUGAUCCCCCUAUUCUCCAUCUUGGCCCCUUUUUGACAGUGAGCGUAAAGGGAUCGCAGGUAUUAUUUAUUUGUCCACGCCAUUCGCAACGUUAUAACUCAAAUCGCGGAAUUGGAUUAUCCUCAUGAGAAACGCGAUGUAUCUAACAAAAACCCAAUGAUAAAACGUAAAAGAAAAAGAGUGUCCUGUCAGAAUCAAAGUUUGAAGAGAUUGUCACUAUUUCUAUAUCGCAGACGUAUCGAUCGUCUCAAUAUACAAUGUAUAGUAACUUUCUGUGACUUGUGAUUUAAUUUUCUUGAUGCUGAAGUUAUCCUGAAAGCUUUCUUUCUUAUCUAACAAUGCAGAAUUAUAUUCGGUAGUGCAAUGUAAUGCUAUCACAACGCAUAUCAGUACAACGUGAUCCGUUUCAAGCAAAGCAUCACAUGUUUGUUUAUUUAUUAAAGCUAUUCUACCAACAAGAGUGUUUAGGAUUUAUAAAGGCUUCAACUCAAUCUUGAUGAUACUGCGAGUAUUGUCGCUGGUAAACGAUGUCAGUGACAGUGAGAUUAAGGUACUUAGUCGCCAGUGGCGCAUCAAAAGGGAAGAUCCAUUCUGUAGCUCGGUGACACGUAUUGUUGGUAAACGCGUCUUUUGUCAUCCAAUUGAUCCUGGAAUGUGCCAUCUGCGACGCAGGAAAACUACACGCGGUGACAAUCUUGGAUGGCGUCUUUGCCCUCACAUAUCGGAGUUACGUCAAAACGUCGCGAAGACUGCGACGUGAAAACUUUCAAAGUGGAAAUACAUUUAUCUCCAACACUGUAUUCUUUUAAAUAAACUGACAACGUUGAAAGGAUGUCAGAAUGAAAUAUACAUUCCUUCUUUCAUCAAAGCAUCACCGAUGGAAUUCAACGUACUAUCGACAUUAAAUCACACAGAAAAUUUGACGAGGAUGUGGAAUAACCGUACGAUUAUAUCACGCCGUUGAAAAGCGUAAGCUGCUUGUGCAUAUCGAUUGCAAUCCAAUGUUGCACUGUGCGCGCUCGAUUUAACUAUCGCCGGAAAUAAUUGCAGAUUCAAACAAUGCUGCGCUGCCUAAUACUUAAUGUUCAGUUGCUAUACAGUGUCGAAUCAGAUCGCACGCAUAUAAAAAUAAACGCGAUGCGAUACGAAACGUUAUACUUUCGUCCUCAUGUUUUAGUCAUUUUUUAUCAACGACUGUGCUCAUGAUAGAUGGAACAAAAUCACGUCUCGUAGAAAUUUAAUUCAGAUAUCAAAUCAGAAGAGCAUGUAAUAUGCAGAAGAUAUGAUUGAUUAAUAAAUUAACGAAAUUAAUAUUGAUUAAUGUAGAUGAGCAAGUUAGUGAAUCAAUAUCCUACGUAACUGAAUGAGCAAAAUAAUAAACAAUAUUUGGAGUUGAUCAUUAUAAUAAAUUCUAUUUGCUAUUAAGAAAGAUGCGAAAAGUGCAUAAUAAAUUACGACAAUAUAUGAAAAAUGUUUUCAGCUUAAUUAUUUACGAUUCAUUGUUAUGCAUUUCUAACCAAUAAUGUAUGAAAUUUUGACAAGUGUCGAUUUUCAACGAAAUAAAAAUAUUUCUAAUAAUA
Ooceraea biroi (clonal raider ant) is the source of this 3034-nucleotide long non-coding RNA. RefSeq lists it as uncharacterized. The record is from RefSeq and is a predicted model, not a curated record. NCBI's taxonomy places the organism in Eukaryota, Metazoa, Arthropoda, Insecta, Hymenoptera, Formicidae.